This 442-nucleotide ribosomal RNA is filed under the name uncultured bacterium. Its description in RNAcentral is "bacterial SSU rRNA". It matches the Rfam family "Bacterial small subunit ribosomal RNA", at positions 30 to 471 of the family's 1533-position model. The record is from RNAcentral.
AUUGAACGCUGGCGGCAUGCCUUACACAUGCAAGUCGAACGGCAGCACGGGAGCAAUCCUGGUGGCGAGUGGCGAACGGGUGAGUAAUAUAUCGGAACGUGCCCAGUCGUGGGGGAUAACGUAGCGAAAGUUACGCUAAUACCGUAUACGAUCUAAGGAUGAAAGCGGGGGACUCGCAAGAGCCUCGCGCGAUUGGAGCGGCCGAUAUCAGAUUAGGUAGUUGGUGAGGUAAAGGCUCACCAAGCCGACGAUCUGUAGCUGGUCUGAGAGGACGACCAGCCACACUGGGACUGAGACACGGCCCAGACUCCUACGGGAGGCAGCAGUGGGGAAUUUUGGACAAUGGGCGCAAGCCUGAUCCAGCAAUGCCGCGUGCAGGAUGAAGGCCUUCGGGUUGUAACUGCUUUGUACGGAACGAAACGGUGAGCUCUAAUACAGUUUG